This is a non-coding RNA of Pelobates cultripes (western spadefoot toad), 205 nucleotides long. NCBI's taxonomy places the organism in Eukaryota, Metazoa, Chordata, Amphibia, Anura, Pelobatidae. The record is from the annotation of a GenBank genome assembly.
GGGAAACUUUCUCACCGUCUCCAAUUAAGAGUAAGAAGAGGAUGUGGAAACAGAGCAGAAAAUAUGAACAAAAGAAGAAGAAUAAAGAGGCUGAGGACAGACCUAGGCUAUUCGAAGAAAGCGAAGUUGCUCAGGAUAUCACUGGUUGCAGUUAUCAGCUGGGUGAGUUACAAACAAAUGUGAAUAAUGCUGUUUUAGGGAAAGU